GGUUUCCAAAUUGAAGAUUCUUCUUAAUCUGCCACAUAAGCUCCAAAGCACCUAAAAAAUAAGCCACUUUCCUUUUUUGAAUCGUUGUUUCAUGAUGAACCAGCAUUGGGUGAUCAACUCUGUGCCAUGACUGAGUGUUGUUACUGCUAAUUACAGCUUGCAGAAUUGUGCUCUCCGGUGGAUGGGAAAUACAACUCCAUUUUGUGCCCUACUGAGGGUUCUAGGCCCCUGAAGGAUGUUACACCUCUGAGUGUAAAUAGAGUAGAUGGAGACAUAAAGGGACCAUGGAGUACGGAUGACGUUGAACACAAGCAAAAGUGGCAUGUUGGAUGCAAUGUGGUGCCUAAAAACUAUUUCCAAAACUAUUUAUUCAUUUAAAGUUAGUCUAGGGACUUGGAAGGAAAUUUGAGAGAAAAGUUAUUAAAAAUACCCCAUGCUGACAAUUGAUGUAUUAUGUUGUAUUAUUUUUUAAUUGAGAUUGGCAGCUUGGCACAAGGGAGAAAAAUACAACUUCAUCUUGUUCACGUAUAUCUCCACCAAGAUCGUUUUUACCUUUUGGUAUGGUGAAUAUUCCUAUUGUAAUUUUCAUUUUACUCAUGAGUAGUUAAAUUUAUUAGUUAGGGUUAUGGAAGCCUUGUAGCAUACAAUCUAUUACUAUGGAUUUUGAAUUCAUUAUGCAUUGAUUUACUUAUA
Long non-coding RNA from Capsicum annuum, 693 nucleotides. RefSeq lists it as uncharacterized. NCBI's taxonomy places the organism in Eukaryota, Viridiplantae, Streptophyta, Magnoliopsida, Solanales, Solanaceae. The transcript is spliced from 3 exons. The record is from RefSeq and is a predicted model, not a curated record.